Molecule: transfer RNA, 65 nt
Filed under: Eophileurus chinensis
Lineage: Eukaryota; Metazoa; Arthropoda; Insecta; Coleoptera; Scarabaeidae
Description: tRNA-His
Source: RNAcentral
AUUUAAAUAGUUUAAUUUAAAACAUUGAUUUGUGGUGUCAGGGAUGUAGGGAUCUACUUUAAAUU